UUAACAUAUCUCAUUUGGAACCACCAUGAAGAGAUCAAGCACAUUGACACGGUGAGAGCUUACACUUUUGGUUCACAUUACUUCGUGGAGGUGGACAUAGUGUUGCCUCAAGACAUGCUCUUGAACCAAGCCCACAAUAUCGGGGAAAAACUUCAGGAGAAGCUGGAGCAAUUGCCUGAAGUUGAGCGAGCUUUCGUCCAUAUUGAUUUUGAGUUUAGUCACAGGCCUGAGCACAAGAAUAAAGUAUGAGCUAGAUGAUCAUAGCUGACCAUUUAGAGGUAGACGACCAUAUCUGAGCGUUGGGAGGAGAAGCCCAUUCAAAAGCAUUUUAUACCGACUGACAUGUGCUGUAAGAUUAAUUUUUGGCUAAAAUAAUGUUAUUAUUAGUAGAGCUACUUUGGAAAAAAUGCGCCCCCUUUGAAUGGAAUUGUAAUAAUGAGGAGAAGAUCCUUUUCCCAGUGGACGAUGCCAUUUUUAAGUGAAAUGAAACCGCUAUGUUUGGUGGCCUCUCCUUCUACAUGAACAUAAAGAAAGCAUAUAAGGCAUAUCCGAGGAUCAAACUGCAUGAGCUUCGUAAGUAAAAUGCAGGGCUCGAGUUUUUUCUUUUGCUACCACAUUAAUGCUAAUUACAAAUGUGUUGUCAAAGGAACUUCCUGCUUCUCUGAAGAAUCAAUCUGGCAUGGUUUUUCAUUAGGUGAGCAGGAUCUACGGACGUGAUUAAGUUGCCAAUGCCCUACUUCAUAUUUGUCCGUCAUAUGCUUUGUUAUAUGAAUACGUAGAUGUAUACAGAUCUAUUAACAAUAUAAAUGCUGUCUCUAGGAAAGAUGCUAGAAAUAUCAUAAGUCUGUGACAAAACUUGUUCAUAAUUGAAGAUGGGAUAUUCAGAGAGUAACAGAUCAACUACUUCGUUGAUGAGUCUCACUCAUUUCAAUACCCAACAUUCAUGUGUCACAGGUCGGUUGAACACGAUUGAUCAAACAGAUCACCGCGCGGCCUUAGGAUUUGUGAUCCCAAGUCAGCCUACUCACUCACACGCACCACACAAGGGUUGGCUGCACAAGGGGUGAAUGUAUUUCACUAUGAAUGAGCUGAGCUCAAAUGAGGGGGAGGGACCCCUUUUAUACAAGUUCGGGUCAAUUCUCGGCCGUGGAUCGUCCCUCCGAUCCAACGGCUGUGUUUGAACAAUGGCCAUCAUUACAAAUCAACUCAGCAAGCCGCUCAAGGGCUGCAAGCCUUGGGAAACAGCCAUAGGCCAGGCGCAAGUCAGAAGCAAGAUCAGGGGCAGCAUGGACGUGUCAGGGCCAGCAUGGGCGAGCAUGGCUGUUUGACACGGAGCAGGUGAACCACUCCUGGCUUGUGUAAGGGCUGGCCGAGGAUUGAUCAGGAGCUGCUUGCUGGUUGUGCACGGAUCAUUCCCUACAUUGUGCACGGGCGAAUCAGGCACGGAUCGCAGAUCGUGCAAGGGCCGAUUGGUGGAUCGGUCAGGGAUCAAUCAAGGGUCGAUCGGGGACUGAUCAGUGAUCGAUCAGGGAUCGAUCAUGGACUGAUGCGGGAUCGGUUAGGGACUAGUUGGGACAGGGAUCGAUCAGGGCGUUCCCAGCAAUGCCCUGGUGCGUGACAUGGCCGCGCACGGAUGGUCUUGGGCAUGCACCGUCCGUGCUCGGCCGUGUCACAUGCAUCAACUUCUACUUUUCUGGCCAUCAAAUUAGCUUGGCAAAAUAAUAUGACCAAAUCCCUCUCAUUCACCACACCCAAAUGCAGAGCCGAACCUCGUUUCUGAAACUCUGAAGGUCAUUCGUUUCUUUUUCUUCAUUGAUGCUCUGCACUACCAAAAAACAAACUGCAGGAGAUGUAUUUCGCAGGUUUCCUCCCUUUCGUUGAGACGUAUGCCAGGAACAUUGUGGUUUGCUAUUCCAUUAUUAACUGCUAUAGGUCACGACUCUCCUGAAGGUCAACUACUAAGAGAAAAGUGGUGGAUUACUUAGCUCGGACGCUUCGAAGCCCAAUCACAACUUUGAUCCUCAAUUCAAUUGUGCAAUUCAAAUCAUUUUGGAGCUGCCACAACCUAUUAUGGAUCAAAUAGGAAUCCAAGUAAAGCACGUGAGUCUGUUUUAUUUUCGUGAACUAGAGAAUCGUGAGUUUAGGAACUUGACAUUAGAUUAAUCUAACAUCAUUUCAAUACAAUUUUUUUCUCUUUUUAUGAAUGCGUUUGUCAUUCAAUCUUCAUCAUUUUCAUCAUCCUAAAUUGCUAACAUGUGAAAAUAAUCAUAAGAUAAACACCCAAUAAUCAAAGUAGUAAAUAAAUUAACCGCCCCAGUGACACAUCAACCAUGCCCCUUCCCUUUCUCCGAUCAUCAAGCCCUCCCGAUCACUUUCUUUGUCUUUCAUCCCCCUGAACAGCCCGUUCUUUUGAAUUUAAAAAAGAAAACGGGUGAACAUGUUUCCCCUUUGAAGUGGCGAAGGCCUAAUGCCUGAAGUAAGCAAAAAGAUAGGUGAAGGUUACGAAGUAAGUCGGCUGGUUAAGGAAAGCUCAGAUUAUGAAAUCGCUUAGCUGUUAAAUUAAUUAAAUUAAUGAAGUUCCCAUUUCAGGUUUCGGUGACUCUUCCUUCUCUUCUCUUUGGAGUGUGUUCAAGCUUAUGAAUUUGAGCCGAGGCCAAAUAAACGCACUUAGAAUCAUUGGUGAGAUAGAAUUAACUUACCACAAUAGGUAUUUGAUUACAAAUAUAAUAAAGAAGAUCUUCAAGCCUACCUCGAAAGAGUCAAUUGCCCAUUCCCCAUAGUUUUGGAUUCCGUUGUCCCUUUGCGCUUUGAUUAGGCCCACCUGCUGCUUCAUGCAAUAGCACGCUUCAAAGCAAAUGAGCUUCACCAGCUAUACAUGCAAUAGCACGCUCCGAAGCAAACGAGCUUCACCAGCUGUAGCCUUAUGAACUAGUCAAGUAGCUUCUUUCCGGCAAAGCUUACCAAUCCUACACUCCUUUCUCCUAUUCUCUGUCAAGUGGAGCCUUUCAGACAUCGACAAACCAAAAAGAUUCUGUCUCUCAUAAGGAGUCCUAAACAAAUCUACCGUUUUGGACGUACUCAAGGGCUUGGCUUGCCCAAAGGAGCCGCUUCUUACACUUUUCCAAUAGCUUAGUACUCAACAAGGGAAGAGGGAUAGCACUGAGCAACUGGCAAAGUGAAUUAGUCGUUUGAUUUCAAGUUCCACAGUAGGAUAAGGAAAAAUUAAGGAACUUGAAAUGCAUCGAGCAACCCUAAGGAAAGCCAAAUCAUUGAUCCCCAAGAUGGGAGCCUUGUAAACUAUCAGUCAGAACAUAACGAUGCAAUGAUAUAAUCUGGCCUACAUGUGAUGUAUACAACUUUUAUGAUUAUGUAUGGAACCUAAUCUAAUCUUUUUGGUUUUUUCUUCCUUUAAUUACCAUGACAAAUUCAAAAUUAUCUCUUAAUAUACCACAUGGCCGAAACUCUACAUGCAUGCAUAACUUGAAUUACCAGAUGAAAUGCAUGAUGAAUAACAUGAAUUAAUCCUAUCAUGCAACAAUUAACUAGACAUAACCUAAACGAGACAUUAAACUAAUUUCUUUUGUGGUUCUUUUUCUUUGAUUAAUGAAUGCAAAAUUAAUCCCUUGAAAGAGUACGUGGACAAGACUCUGCAUGUUAAGCCAACAUUCAUGAAAUUAAACUAAUUCACAGGAAAAAUAUGAUGAGAAUCGCAAAAGUUGCUGAGGCGACUGAUACAAACCUGUGGUGAUUUUGGUAGAAGUUGUUGAGCUGGUAGUAUCCAUAAAUAGGACGCUUCAUAUGCUUGGGCACCUGAUGAAAAAACAAAGUGGAGGAGAGAUCCCCUGUUAUAAUUAUGGUUAAUGGAUCAUAAUAGCUAACAAAUUAAGAUACGUCUUUUCUAUUCACGUAUCUAUUGAAUUUAUGAAUUUCCUAAAUUCAUCUAUCUUUUAAUUCAUAUAUUUAUUGAGUUUACGAAUAUCUUGAAUUCACGUGUCUCUGGAUUCAUGAAUUUUUUGGAUUCACGUAUCUCUUGAUUCAUGAAUUUCUUGGAUACAUGCAUCUAUUUAAUUCAUGUAUCUCUUCUGUAUAUGACUCUAUAAAUAGAUAAGAGCAUAGAACUUCAUGAGACGGUUUUCGAUAGUACAAUUCGAGACAAUGAUUCCAAAAGAGAUUUGAAAUACUACUAUACUCUUCUGAUUUUUUUGGAUGUACUGGUUCAAUUAAACAGUUCGACUGAGUCCUGUUUGCAUAGUGUUAAUCCAAACAGAUUUGAGGUGUUGUAUUUUGGGAGACAUAGUUCAUGAAUCUGCGGAAUACCAUUGGUAGGAACUAAUCGCCUUAAGGAGAUUCGGAUAUCCGUACCCCACCUCCAAUUUUAUGUUAUUUUUCCAGUAAUAUCUUAUUUUAUUCUUCUUCAAGAUUUGUAAGUUUACAUAAAAAUAAAGAUAUUAUAAAGCUGUUACCGUCUUCUUUACAUUGAUGUUCUGAUUAACAGUUUGCUUUCUCUAGAUUAUAUUCCAACACCCCCUGAGUUUCACAUAAUCGGUGUGAUCUUCUUUCAACUAAUAGUGGACAGUUGGAGGGUUAUUCAAGUUUUAAGUGCAACUAAUGCAUUAUUAAGUCCAGAAAAAACUUACUCUUGACAUCCUGUUGCAGGUUUUGUCCCCAGGUAUCUGUAUGUUCUGGACUCUAUCGGUUCUAUUGGAUGCUGGUAAGCACUCAAUGUCGUACUGAUCAAUCAUCUCGACAGCCUAAAAAAUAAGGAUAUAUAUAUAUAAACUACUGCACAUUAUCAUAAUGAUGAAAGCAACCAGCCUCGGGAUUAAGCUUACAUCACGGGAAGCAAACAAAGAGGCAAGUCCAAUUGGAAGGAAAACAAUGCUAACCAGCAUGAAUGCUGAAAUCACCUGCACAAAAAAUGGGAGACUUCAGUAUUUUUAUCAGGAAUUGGCAAAUGGUUACGAGAUGUACAUAUUUUAGACUUGGUUAUCUUUGAGGGUGCGUUCUUCGAUGGAAGGACAACUAUGUCGUCAUUUUGUUCUUGUUAAAGUCAGGGUGUGACAAUACCUUGUCGAUUUGGGGGUAAAAUGUACAGCACAAAAUGGUUGGUCAUUCACUCUUUCAAAUGGGGUAAACAUUUCUUCUUUUUCUCUCCUUCAGCAAAUGUUCAUUUAGAAUCUUUCAGAACAAAUUACUGUAAUAUAGAAACAUUCGACCGCGAAUAUACAUUCCCAGGUCUGUUUUAGUUGUAGGAUUGCCUCAUGGAUUCUCGAAUUGAAGGAAUUGAUCUGGUUUUAUCCUACAUAAGCAAAUUUUGCUACCCAAAAUAUUUUCUUGACGGAGGCGAAAUAACCCGAAAAUGAAAAGAGAAAACCCCUAACCAACUUGCAGUUAAAGGGGGCCAUCACUAUGGGGUGGUCACCUUCACAAUGACUAUUGCUACAACUUAGAAAGGACCGACACUCUCUGAAAGUUUUCGAGUUGUGUCGGACACUCCGACAUAUGUUCGAUACUUUCGGACAUUCUCUAACACGUAGUCAAUACGUGUUGGAAAAUCCAACACCUGAUCAAUUGUCUUGAUACUCUCCGGCACUCGAGUCAAAAAUACGAAAUGUGAGUUUUUGACACGUGAUUUCAAUACAUGAUAUCAAUUUUUAAAAAUUUCAAUAAAUGAUAGGUUAAAAUGUAUAUAUGUGAAAAAAUAAUAAUAAUAAUAAAUAAAGGAAGAAGAAAAGCCUAAUCUUCUCUUCUUUUCUGACUCUCACUUUUUUUGAUACAUAAUUCACCCUCCAAUGUUUUUUUUUUCCUUUUCUCUACUGACACGUCUGACAUGUGAGUCAAGAAUGUGAAUUGUUUGUUUUUUUCUUUCAAUUUUUAUGGAUAUUGGAAUGGAGUAGAAUUUGUCAAAUUAAAACAAUAAAUGAUACUAAUAAAUUAUGGAUUAAUGUUUUUAGUAUAAACUUAUUCUAAACUUUUUACUAUUAUUAUUUAUUUAUUUGUGAAUUUGAAUCAAAUUAACGUAAAAAUGAUAACUUAUUAUGUAUAUAUAAUACAUUUAAUAUAUAACGUGUUCUAACGUGUCAGAACUCUUUGUUUUUUGAGAAAUGACGUGUUAAUGUGUCUGUUCUGUUGUGUCGCGUGUCGCAUAUCGGUAUCAAUACUAGUUAGGCUACAACUACGGCAAAGGGUGACCAGAGAUGUUCACGACCCCAAUGGCAAAUGAAGAUAGAGAAUCCCUUUACUUAUGUUUUUGUUGAUUUUGUUAUCUUAUCCGGUCGGGUAAAAUUAUCUUCUCCCUAUAGUCCGAACAACUCAUCUGAGUUCUCAUUCAAAUCCAGAUUAUGCCGAUCUAUCCAAUCCGGCUCCUCGAACGUGCCCGCCCUUAUUGUUUAAUGAGCAAGGAUUUCAUUUGCCUAAGUAAACAACGGGGAGGAAACUCCUAGAGUCCUUUACCAAGGGCAGUCCAUAGCUGAAAUCUAUAUGAUGAAGAACAUCAUCUCAUCAGCAGUGGUAUUAAGAUCACCAACGUAGUGCAUCUUCAUCUUUCAAUGGUUUCCAUGCAAAGUAUAAUAAGGGUGCAUUUGGUAAUUGUUCUACUCUCUAAAAUAAUUUCUACUUAGAUUUUUUUUUUUUUUUCUGAUUCUAUUCCUUAAACGAAUUUUUAAGCAUUUGAAGGCAUUUGGUACGAUCCUUAAAUUCUUUUGUGACUUAAAAUUUCUUUUAAUUUUUAAAUAAUUUUAUUAAAUUUUUCUAUUUUUCUUCUUCUUCUUCCUUUAGCCAGUCACCAGCUAAGACCAAGGCCUAUGACUGGCUAAAGGAGGAAGAAUAAAAGGAAAAAAAGAAAAGAAAAUAGAUAAAAAGAAACAACUUUGAUUUUAGAAUUAUUCUUGAGAACAAAAAGUGACUUUUUCCCACUUUUUAGUUCUGUUUCAAAUCUAUUAUUGGAAAUAAAAAAAAUACCAAAAUAGAUUAUUUUUUGAAGAAUAAAAGAAUAAAAUUAAAUAUUAUUUAACAUGUUAUCAAAUAAAUCCUAUGUAAAAGUAGUCCACAUCAAAUUGGGGUCUCAUUUAUCAAGAAGUUGUAGGUUUUCAUUGAGUCGAGUCCGUGCUCGUCUAAAGAAGGCCCCCUGAUGAAGGAACCUCCCCCUUGGACAAGACCCUCAAAUGAUUCGCGUGCUUCUUAUCUUGUUACUUUUACCACUUGGUUUCGACACGGGACAUAAUAGAUUAGGGCGGCCCAUAAGGAGAAGGGAUGACGAUGUCGUAAAGGUGACUUCUUAUAUUUUAUUGCCUCUCACCGCCAGGUGGUUGAUUGAGAAAUGUGCCAUGAUUUGCUUUCAGAUCCUAAGCCUUUUGUGCGAUUCGAGUUGUCGUUUUCCCGGGGCAAGUGGAUUGGUUGGGAUUCCGAAAUGGGACUAUCGUACACGGAAUAAUGCUUAGUUUAUUUGAGCUAUAAUUAGGGUAAGUUAAGUGACGAAGUCGGGGAGCGUGGAAGAUAAGGUUAGGUGUCUUACACUCAGAUGUCACGCUCCUAAAAGCACUCACGACUCCUCUUAUUCGUUCUUUUGCCGUCACCGGAUAGAGAAAGGAGACCAUUUCUUCACGAACGCCUCGUGUGAUAUUGAGGCAAUGCCAUGGCUGUUGUAGUUAUUAAUGAGAGAUUUUUAUGGGGUCAUAACCAAUUGUUCUAAAAAUAUAAAUUGUUAAAUGGAGGUAUAGUUUAAUAUUUAUGAGAUAACUAUCGAUUUUAGAAGUUUAAGCUAUUAGAUCACUCUAACAGCUCAAAUGUCGUUUCAUUCUGAACUUUUUGCUUGGAACGCCAUUUGGGGGAAGGUGGAGUGCUUUUUGCGAUGGAGAAGCGAGAGGAAGCUUUGUCCUCUCCUUUUUCGCUGCCCACCCCAAUUUGUUUAAGGAACAAAUUCAAAAAAGCUUGGCUGUUUUGCUUUCGUGGGGUUUUGCCCCGUUUGGCAACACAGUCCCUGCUCUCUCCCUCUCUCCUUUUGGACUUUGCUCAUAUCAUCAUCAGCAGAAGAAAGUACUAUUACUCUUCUGAAGUUGCAUAAGUUGGGUGAAAUCUCGAGGUCGUGUGAGAACAAAAGCGUGCACAACGUAUCGAUGCUGCGACGUGAGAUGAAAGCGUAACUACUAUCUAAACCGGUAUUUACGGAACAGCUCGGUCGACUCAGUAAUUACAUUUGGGAGAUGUGCUCCUGGGAAGGAGAAGGACAUCUAAGAUGUAAUAUAUGAUGAUGAACAGGAUGUACAAAUGCAGGAAUUGGAAGUUGGCCAUUUGUCUGGUGACGGGAGAUGCUCGCGAAUGCCAGUUUUUUACCAAGUCUCGUUCCUAAUAUUAGGUACGAAGUUCGUCUAAAAUGGUGAGUGAGAGAGAAAGUGGGUUCACCAAUACCUUAUAUUAUUAAUACUAUGUUAUAUUAUAUUAAAUUAUAUUAUAUUAUAUGGUAUCUUUCUUGAGGCCUUCCCAAAAUGCAGUAAUUUAAACGAUACGUGCAUGCGUGGGUGGGUGGGUAUAUAAUAUAAAGAAUGGAAAGGUAGAGAUGAGAGCUUGGGCCUCCCAUCAUCCAAACAGGUCCCCUCCCCGGUGCGUCGUUGUGGCUUGCUUCCUGGAAAACCGACUCCGGAAUUACAGAUUUUCCUGGCGACAAUCAUGGAGCAGAACAGCCCCCAACACCUGAGCGUCACCAUUGGCGAAUCCCGUCGCGAGCUCCUCUCUCCCCUCCCCGACGAUCCUCCCCCUUCCUCCAUGGACGUCUUCGUCGACGACGACGACGGCUACGACGGCUCCUCCGCUCCCUCAUGGCGUCUCAGCCUCACCGAGUUCCACCUCCCUCCCCGCGACCCCCACCGCCGCCGCCCCCUCUCUCGCUUCUCCUGCCGCCACCUUCUCCCUGCUCCGAGUAUCUCUCUCUCUCUCUCUCUCUCUCUCUCUCUCUCUCUCUCCAUGCCGCUUUUUCCGUGGAAGUGAAACUGCCUCCGUCGUAGUGUCAAAAUCCUGGCAUUUCCAUUUCCUUGCUUAUUCGCCGUUAUGUAUCUCUGUUGCGUAAUCCAAGCAUCUCCCGUGUUACACUUCGCACGAUCGCCACCCUCCGUGCGAUCGCCUCAUGCUUCGGCUUCUCUCCAUCGAAAGCAGCGACGCCUUCUCUGGAACGCAUGCGCCGUCGCUAACUCCAUGAAACUACGUUGAUACCUUAGACCAUGCUUUUGACAUUUUCGCUGGUCGACGGAAAUUAACAUGCCGUAUCCUGUCUGCAUCAUUUUUCUGGCAACUUCUCUUGCAGAAGCGCCACAACGUCUGGGACCGACCUGCUGUUGCUUGGUCCGUGUUUGUAUUUAUGGGUGAAUUUGUGCUUGGUCCGCUGGGCAGUGUUCCACCGUGGUGGGAUCCCACAAUAACACAGAUAUUCAUUGCCAAGUACUUGGAAUUGUUGAUUAUGACAUAGCUUUCGAGCCUUUUUUUCUUUUCUUUUCUUCUAGCCAGCACCCAGCAGUAUCAAUCAACAGAAACGCGGAUGAAAGUUAACGAGGUCUGACUUGUUGCUUCAUUAGACCGUCUAAAUCCAUCGCACCGUGUCCUUUCGACUUAGCUUUCUGUAAAACCUGUCAAAACUGAGCGGUACGAGGAAAGUCAUUCCGUAAGCAUCAUUUUAGUGAAAUGGAAAUUGAGUAUGAAGUUUUAAGAUGUUUAGUGGCAUGUAAUGGCUACUCUCACCCGUGGUCAAAUUCAGGUCAUAGUGUUGGGGAGUCAAGUUAUAUUAUAGAAUGUUAUUGUGCUUUCAACAUUAGGAGAAACCGUUCAAGUCUGGAUCUCCUUAUUUUGCUUGUAACUGACUCAGAUUGUAUUCAAUAAUUCCAAUUCAGGGAAAGAGCGCAAGAUAGCAGAAUAUUACGAGAAACAGGAAAGCCUUCUCGAAGGGUACAAUGAGAUGGAGGCCAUGACUGACUCAGAUUGUUUUCCAGGAAGCCUAACUGAGGUAGAUUGCAUGUAGCUCAUAUCAUCCUACUUUUCGUUAGUUUCAGACCUCCGAGGGGAUUGUGCUUUCUUAGCUCUAGGAAAAGCAGAUUCUUCGGCAUAAUGAAAUGCUUCUCCACUGGGUAGCUGUUGAAGCAAGAGAGACAAUCAUUGAGAUAAUAAACCUGAUUUUAUGACAUUGUACUUCGAGUUUUCUAAGAAGACAUCGCUUGUGAUCAAUUAACUGCAAUCUGUCAGGAUGAAAUGAAGCAGCUCGCAAAGAGUGAAAGAUUUGCGGUCCAUAUUUCAAACAUAGCAAACUUGGUGCUUUUCAUAGCAAAGGUCUUCGCUUCUGUUGAGAGCAGAUCGCUGGCAGUUAUCGCCUCAACCUUGGAUUCAUUCUUAGAUCUACUAUCAGGUUUUAUUUUGUGGUUCACGGCAAAUGCUAUGAGGAAACCAAACCAAUAUCAUUACCCUAUUGGUAAGAAGCGGAUGCAACCAGUGGUAUGUUCCCCUGAUUCCUUGGUUAAAAAAUUGUCGCGGAUCCAUGGGGAAACACAUGAAUCGAAUCGACUUUUCUUUUGCUCCCACUUAAUUUCGCUAGCCUUGCCUAGACCUAUGACUAUUAACUAUUGUUAUGGAUUACUUUCUCCCUUACUACUGGAAAAACGAGAUGUUCGAUUCUGACUGACCAUGUAACUUGGUUCUUCUGCCGUGCCUUCUUUUCUCUUUGUUAUGUCACUCGAUUACGAUGGAGUGCUCAUUUUUCGAUAGCUUUAGCAACCGUGAUAAUGCAUGUGUUAUCUUUAGAUAACAGCUGGCUGCUUAGUUGAAUUACAACAACAAAUUAUACUCAAUUUCCCUUUGUCUCUAUGAUUAGCUCACAAGAGAAGGCAGUGUCAGAUAUAGUUUGUGUAUAGCAGGGCUAUUGAAGUACUGUAGGAUGAAGCGUGGCACUGAUGACGGGAACCAAAUUGCCAUGCAGACCAGGGGUGACCAAAAAAUGACAAGAGUAGACGGUUCUGGUUUGAUUUGGCUUCAGGUCGAGAUUAUGUUGGUGGUGUCUUGAGUGUAUCCAUUGUUGGGUCCCUGUGGUCCGUUACUUACGAAAACCUGAUCAAUAUGAAUUUUAAGUUGUACUUAAUCCAUCUCUGAUAUUGAUUAACCACGUGAAGUACUUAAGACUAAAUAGCAUCAGAGCUAAGUGAAAUUUGGGAUGUUACAGUUCUGGUUUCACAGCGGAUUAUGGAGAGAUUAGGUGGAUUAGGAUUAGGAAGACAGAGCUGCUUUGGUUUUCGGAGUGAUGAGGUGAUUCAAGGCUUAGAGAAUGUAAUAGCCUGUACCCAUGAGAAUUACUAGGAUUUACACAAGUUAAUAUUAGGUCAUUACGAUUCUGAGAUCAAAGCUAAGUGAAAUUUGUGAUGUUACAUGUGGUGUUGUCUUACAAUCCUUCGUUUUAAUGUCCAAACACAAUAAAUCACAGUAAUGAGAGAGAGAAGAGGGGAGGGGGGGGGGGGGGGGGGGAGAGAGAGAGAGAGAGAGAGAGAGAGAGAGAGAGAGAAUUAUGAACCAUACCAAACUAGUUUUUUUUUUCAUUGGUUCAACUCAACAUCUUCAGUUCUUUUUUUUUUUUUGGUAAAGAACAUCUCCAAUUCAUUUGAUCAGCACAUAAACAAAAAAACUGUUUUGUCUACAAAUCAAUGAAUAAGAUGGCCGCAGUUUGACAUAGAUGCUAUUUAUAUGUCGGAUGGGUAAAAAUAGUUAAAUGAAUGCUUGUUAUAAGAGAGAAACCAGUCAAAAGGAAAAAUAAGACUGUUUUUUUAGGUACCGGGAGUCGAUGACCCCAAUAUUAUAAGCAAUGAGAAAUUGCUUGAAAUUUUCUCGAUCAGAGUAAUAUGUGUUGACUAAUCAAACUUUCUGAUUAAGCUAUGAGUGUAAUGGUAUUGGUGGUUUGAAAAUGCAGGGUAUCAUUGUAUUUGCUUCAGUUAUGGCAACUCUUGGCUUACAAAUCCUGCUGGAGUCUGCUCGAGAAAUUCUCUCCAAGGCAAGUAAUCUUUAUGUUGUUUGCCUUUUCAUGUCCCUUUGCAAACAAAUUUAAAUACAGAGCCUGGGAUAGACUAGUUUACAGAGCAGUUAGAACGGGAGGAGUUCUAUUCAGCUAAUAAUAAUUGAAGAAGGCUUUGAGUCUUGUCUGGGUACUUGGAUAUUCUAGUCAGUCUUAAACUUUAAGAACUUACCUUAAGUAUAUAAACUUCUUCUUCCGAGUUUUCAUUUGGAUACUCCUAGAAAUUUCCGGAAAAAAAAAAUGUUUUUGCAUCACAGAUGACCUUCAUUCGAUUUUACUACCACUUCCCAAUAAAUCAAAUGUUUUAAACACGCAGACUUAAGGUACACUUACUAAAGUUUAGACUGUCAUCUCACUCCUCCAGUUCACUCAUUUUAUCCCACUCAUCUUAUCCCAUUAUAUUUCAAUCAAAUCUACAUGCAGUCACGCCCAGAUACUGAUCAUGAGAAGGAGAAGUGGAUGAUUGGGAUUAUGGUUUCUGUUACAGUAGUGAAGUUUGCCCUUAUGAUUUAUUGCCGAAGAUUCAAGAAUGAAAUCGUCAGAGCAUAUGCUCAAGAUCAUUUCUUUGAUGUUGUAACUAAUUCUGUCGGUCUGGCGGCGGCUGUCCUAGCCAUCCAAUACUACUGGUGGAUAGAUCCAGUUGGAGCUAUAAUAGUAAGUUCAUCUCGAGCAGUCCUACUUUGAGUUUUUCCAUCGUGUGUUUCUGAGAGUUAUAGAUUUACUGUUCCCCUCCAUCCUAGCCAUAUAUUUAUGUUAGUGCACAACUUUUCUCAGCCAAAUUAUGACAUACUCUGCAGAUAGCAAUAUAUACCAUAAGCACGUGGGCAAGAACGGUGAUCGAGAAUGUAUGGUUGCUUAUCGGAAGAACGGCCCCACCUGAAUUUAUAGCGAAGUUAACAUAUCUCAUUUGGAACCACCAUGAAGAGAUCAAGCACAUUGACACGGUGAGAGCUUACACUUUUGGUUCUCAUUACUUCGUGGAGGUGGACAUAGUAUUACCUGAAGACAUGCUCUUGAACCAAGCCCACAAUAUUGGGGAAAUGCUUCAAGAGAAGCUGGAGCGAUUGCCCGAAGUUGAGCGAGCUUUCGUCCAUAUUGAUUUUGAGUUUACUCAUACGCCUGAGCACAAGAAUAAAGUAUGAGGC
Molecule: long non-coding RNA, 13176 nt
Filed under: Eucalyptus grandis
Lineage: Eukaryota; Viridiplantae; Streptophyta; Magnoliopsida; Myrtales; Myrtaceae
Description: long non-coding RNA (EGRA_LNC003938)
Source: RNAcentral